GGGAGAUUAGCUCAGCGGUAGAGCUAUUCGUUUACACCGAAUCGGUCAUUGGUUCAAGUCCAAUAUCUCCCA
Molecule: transfer RNA, 72 nt
Rfam family: tRNA
About the family: Transfer RNA (tRNA) molecules are approximately 80 nucleotides in length. Their secondary structure includes four short double-helical elements and three loops (D, anti-codon, and T loops). Further hydrogen bonds mediate the characteristic L-shaped molecular structure. tRNAs have two regions of fundamental functional importance: the anti-codon, which is responsible for specific mRNA codon recognition, and the 3' end, to which the tRNAs corresponding amino acid is attached (by aminoacyl-tRNA synthetases). tRNAs cope with the degeneracy of the genetic code in two manners: having more than one tRNA (with a specific anti-codon) for a particular amino acid; and 'wobble' base-pairing, i.e. permitting non-standard base-pairing at the 3rd anti-codon position.
Source: Rfam